Molecule: non-coding RNA, 235 nt
Filed under: Solanum tuberosum (potato)
Lineage: Eukaryota; Viridiplantae; Streptophyta; Magnoliopsida; Solanales; Solanaceae
Description: Bacterial small subunit ribosomal RNA
Rfam family: Bacterial small subunit ribosomal RNA
Source: Rfam by way of RNAcentral
GAACGGGUGAGUAACGCGUAAGGACCUGCCCUUGGAAGGGGAAGUGGGGAACAACCGCUGGAAACGAUUGCUAAUACCAUGUAGGCUGAGGAACAAAAGGAGGAAUCCGCGCGAGGAGGGGCUCGCGUCUGAUUAGCUAGUUGGUGAGACAAUAGCUUACAAAGGCGAUGAUCAGUAGCAGGUCCGAGAGGAUGAUCAUCCACACUGGGACUGAGACAAUCAACUUUAUCUUGAA